RNAcentral lists this unclassified non-coding RNA (337 nucleotides) under soil metagenome. Its description in RNAcentral is "partial contains 5.8S ribosomal RNA, internal transcribed spacer 2, and large subunit ribosomal RNA". The stretch from base 1 to 120 matches the Rfam family "5.8S ribosomal RNA", at positions 35 to 154 of the family's 154-position model. The record is from RNAcentral.
GAUGAAGAACGCAGCGAAAUGCGAUAAGUAGUGUGAAUUGCAGAAUUCAGUGAAUCAUCGAAUCUUUGAACGCACAUUGCGCCCCUUGGUAUUCCAUGGGGCAUGCCUGUUCGAGCGUCAUUUGUACCUUCAAGCUCUGCUUGGUGUUGGGUGUUUGUCUCGCCUCUGCGUGUAGACUCGCCUCAAAACAAUUGGCAGCCGGCGUAUUGAUUUCGGAGCGCAGUACAUCUCGCGCUUUGCACUCAUAACGACGACGUCCAAAGGUACAUUUUUACACUCUUGACCUCGGAUCAGGUAGGGAUACCCGCUGAACUUAAGCAUAUCAAUAAGCGGAGGA